This is a non-coding RNA of Callithrix jacchus (white-tufted-ear marmoset), 969 nucleotides long. NCBI's taxonomy places the organism in Eukaryota, Metazoa, Chordata, Mammalia, Primates, Cebidae. The record is from RefSeq and is a predicted model, not a curated record.
CUGAGACACAUUCCCCAAGAGGUACAUUGAAGGCUCUUGAAAAUAAAGGACAGAAAAGCCUUAGGAAAUACAAAUGCAUUCAGCCAACCAAUUCCCAGCAUCUUUAAGGUUUUCAAAAGAUAGCCAGAAUAUAUAUUUCUCUUGCUUAUCCCAGCCAGGAUCGAAAUAUGCAAAUAUGCUGCUUUUCUCCAGGAUAACUCACUGUGAGUCAAUUGCAGGAUGGGCACAAUACAAUGGAGCCCAAAUUUCUCAGGCAAAGAAAUGUAAUAUGGACAUCUAAGAGCUUUCAGAAUAUAAUUUCAAAGGCAGGACUGAUUCUCUGAAAAGCCAUCCAAUGUGCUGUCUGACAGCUGUUCCUGCCCAGAAAAUGAACAGGAUACCUACAACACAGUGACUACCAUGUCAUCAGGGCCAUGAAAUGUACAGAGUUGACCAGGGAGCAACAAAAACGUAACUCAAAACAGAAAGCCAUGCAGCCUAGGGCAGUGGUCGCUGGAGGAUGUAUGUAUACAUAUUAUUCUUGCAAUUAGAAAAAAUUUCAAGUCAUCAAGGACAGAAAAGAAAAACUGGGGAAAACAAAGAAUUGAAAUCAACAUAUAAGAGACAAGGCUACAGUUGCUACAUUUAUGAUCUUAGAAGGAAAAAAAAGUCUUUAAGGGAAAAAAGUGGAUCAGAGUUCAGAAAUCCCUCCAGGGCAUGAGCAAAAUGAAGUGAAAGACUCCUAUGUAGGAUGAUAAUACCAUGCCUGAAGCUAGAAAAAUUCUAGACUUGAUAUAACAGAAUUACCAUGCAGUUGAAAAAAAAAUUCCCAGGGUCAGAUCAUACAGAUGGGUGCCCCACACCACUCCAGGAAUUCAAAACGAAGAGGACAUUCUACAGGAGGCCGGACAGGGAAAUGGCUCUGCUGCAAAAGUAAGUAAGAUUUCUGUGCUGGCCACUCCAGUGGCUCAGGGCACACCUCUAACUAUU